AUGAUUAUUUAUCCAUAGAGUCAGUCAGUCAACGUUUAUACCUUGACCAAAGCAGUCGGGGAUUCUUAACUUUAUCUAGAGAAAGAAAUCGAAUCAAAAAAACGAAAAAUUUAGCAAUAAAAGUUGUUGCUUAUGACGAUCGUUAAAAUUGCGUGUGUUAAAAUCAUUUAAAACCUAUAAAAAAGUGAAAAGUUUUGUGCCGAGGUUGUAAGGCAAGAGGAAGAAAAGGACAUUACUUUUAAGCCAGAGCGGAUCAGAAAAUAAAAAAAACAAAUCUGGAAUUUUAACUUGUCAUGAUAAAAUGUUACCAUAGAUUUUUAUUAGAGAUUUUCUUAAGUAGGCAGUAGAUGAAGGUUUGGGCGAUUUAAAGUGGCGCAAAAAUAUAAAUCUAUCUAUACACAAGCAUACAACAAACUCGUCUUCCUACACACUUUUUUUCUCAAUUCAUAGCAAAACUUUUUAACAUUUUUGCUCAACUAAAUCUUAAACAAGACCAAGCCAAUAACCAACCAACCAGCCAUAUGAGUUAAAGAAAAGAUUUGCAAAAGAAAUAAACUACAACUGACUGAGAUUGAUAAAAAUUAAAAAAAAAAGCAGUAGAGGUUGGUAGAUGCUGCAUAGAUGGAUAUUAUAGCUGGAGUUGUUGAUCAUGAAUGUCUGAUCGCGUUUUCUAUAUCGGCGUCAAAAUCCACAUAAACAGCAGCUGGUAAGCAACAGCAAUAAGAAAAAAAAAACAAC
Molecule: long non-coding RNA, 738 nt
Organism: Lucilia cuprina (Australian sheep blowfly)
Lineage: Eukaryota; Metazoa; Arthropoda; Insecta; Diptera; Calliphoridae
Exons: 4
Source: RefSeq, a predicted model, not a curated record